This 1165-nucleotide ribosomal RNA is filed under the name Salmonella enterica subsp. salamae. RNAcentral's name for it is "partial 23S ribosomal RNA". It matches the Rfam family "Bacterial large subunit ribosomal RNA", at positions 1 to 1577 of the family's 2925-position model. The record is from RNAcentral. Lineage: Bacteria; Pseudomonadati; Pseudomonadota; Gammaproteobacteria; Enterobacterales; Enterobacteriaceae.
CAGUGGUGAACUCCACAUACGCAUCCUUUGCGGAAGGUGCGGUUAACGGAGCGUAAGCGACGUUCAACCUCAUAAAGAAGUAGAGGGGGCUUAGUGGUGGGGUGACUGCGUACCUUUUGUAUAAUGGGUCAGCGACUUAUAUUCUGUAGCAAGGUUAACCGUAUAGGGGAGCCGAAGGGAAACCGAGUCUUAACCGGGCGUUAAGUUGCAGGGUAUAGACCCGAAACCCGGUGAUCUAGCCAUGGGCAGGUUGAAGGUUGGGUAACACUAACUGGAGGACCGAACCGACUAAUGUUGAAAAAUUAGCGGAUGACCUGUGGCUGGGGGUGAAAGGCCAAUCAAACCGGGAGAUAGCUGGUUCUCCCCGAAAGCUAUUUAGGUAGCGCCUCGUGAAUUCAUCUCCGGGGGUAGAGCACUGUUUCGGCUAGGGGGUCAUCCCGGCUUACCAACCCGAUGCAAACUGCGAAUACCGGAGAAUGUUAUCACGGGAGACACACGGCGGGUGCUAACGUCCGUCGUGAAGAGGGAAACAACCCAGACCGCCAGCUAAGGUCCCAAAGUCAUGGUUAAGUGGGAAACGAUGUGGGAAGGCCCAGACAGCCAGGAUGUUGGCUUAGAAGCAGCCAUCAUUUAAAGAAAGCGUAAUAGCUCACUGGUCGAGUCGGCCUGCGCGGAAGAUGUAACGGGGCUAAACCAUGCACCGAAGCUGCGGCAGCGAACGUAUCACUUAAAACGAUUCAGAAGCUUACGAUUGACGGAGCGAAGCGACGUCAAAGCGUAUACAAAGUCGAGUCGGUUUAAGGAUACGUUCGUUGGGUAGGGGAGCGUUCUGUAAGCCUGCGAAGGUGGCCUGUGAGGGUUGCUGGAGGUAUCAGAAGUGCGAAUGCUGACAUAAGUAACGAUAAAGCGGGUGAAAAGCCCGCUCGCCGGAAGACCAAGGGUUCCUGUCCAACGUUAAUCGGGGCAGGGUGAGUCGACCCCUAAGGCGAGGCCGAAAGGCGUAGUCGAUGGGAAACGGGUUAAUAUUCCCGUACUUGGUGUUACUGCGAAGGGGGGACGGAGAAGGCUAUGUUGGCCGGGCGACGGUUGUCCCGGUUUAAGCGUGCAGGUGUGUGUUCCAGGUAAAUCCGGUUCACUUUAACACUGAGGCGUGACGACGAGGCAC